AAACCUAAUAGCUAGCCCUAUCAACAAAAACCAACAACCCACAAUAAACACCCCCUAACACACUAUAACCCGCACACUAAAGCAUUUUACCAUCCUAGUAUGGGCGACAGAAAAGAAAACUAGGCGCAAUAGAAAAAGUACCGCAAGGGAACGCUGAAAAAGAAAUGAAACAACUCAACAAAGUCAAAAAAAGCAGAGAUUUAACCUCGUACCUUUUGCAUCAUGUUUUAGCAAGACAAACCAAGCAAAGAGCCCUUCAGUUUGUUACCCCGAAACUAAGUGAGCUACUCCAAGACAGCCUAUUAAAGGGCCAACCCGUCUCUGUGGCAAAAGAGUGGGAAGAGCUUCGAGUAGAGGUGAUAAACCUACCGAACUUAGUUAUAGCUGGUUGCCUAAAAAUUGAAUACAAGUUCAGCCCCUCAGCUUCUCAACUCCGCCACACCUAAUCCCCCCCCAGACACCAUAGAAACUGAGAGAGUUAGUCAAAGGAGGAACAGCCCCUUUGACCCAAGACACAGCUUUUUAAGGAAGAUAAAGAUCAUACAACACCAAGGAAUUUGUUCUAGUGGGCCUAAAAGCAGCCACCUAAACAGAAAGCGUUAAAGCUCAAACACACUAACCUCCCCUAUAAUUCCGAUAACCCUAUCUUAAUCCCCUACCAUUAUUAGGCCGCUCCAUGCCAACAUGGAGGCGAUAAUGCUAAUAUGAGUAAUAAGAGAGCACGCCUCUCUCCCAGCAUACGUGUAACCUGGUACGGACCCCCCACCAGGCACUAACGGCCCCAAACAAAGAGGGUAAUGAACCAUAACAAAAACAACCAGAAGAACCCCCAAACAUAAACCGUUAAUCCCACACCGGCAUGCAAAUAAGGAAAGACUAAAAGAAAAAGAAGGAACUCGGCAAACACAAGCCUCGCCUGUUUACCAAAAACAUCGCCUCUUGCCAAAACCAAAAUAUAAGAGGUCCCGCCUGCCCUGUGACAACAAGUUUAACGGCCGCGGUAUCCUGACCGUGCGAAGGUAGCGCAAUCACUUGUCUUUUAAAUGAAGACCCGUAUGAAUGGCAUAACGAGGGCUUAACUGUCUCCUUUUUCCAGUCAAUGAAAUUGAUCUCUCCGUGCAGAAGCGGAGAUGAACCCACAAGACGAGAAGACCCUGUGGAGCUUUAGACACCAAAGCAGUUCUUGUUAAACACCCUAAAACAAAAGGCAUAACCAAAAGAGUCCUGCCCUAAUGUCUUCGGUUGGGGCGACCGUGAGGAACAAAAAACCCUCUACGUGGAGCGGGAAAACUCUCUCCCACAACCAAGAGUAACAACUCUAAGCACUAGAACUUCUAACCAAACGAUCCGGCAACGCCGAUUAACGAACCAAGUUACCCCAGGGAUAACAGCGCAAUCCCCUUCUAGAGUCCCUAUCGACAAGGGGGUUUACGACCUCGAUGUUGGAUCAGGACAUCCUAAUGGUGCAGCCGCUAUUAAGGGUUCGUUUGUUCAACGAUUAAAGUCCU
This 1508-nucleotide ribosomal RNA is filed under the name Parachanna africana. RNAcentral's name for it is "partial 16S ribosomal RNA". It matches the Rfam family "Bacterial large subunit ribosomal RNA", at positions 196 to 2597 of the family's 2925-position model. Lineage: Eukaryota; Metazoa; Chordata; Actinopteri; Anabantiformes; Channidae. The record is from RNAcentral.